This 207-nucleotide ribosomal RNA is filed under the name uncultured bacterium. RNAcentral describes it as "partial 16S ribosomal RNA". It matches the Rfam family "Bacterial small subunit ribosomal RNA", at positions 568 to 774 of the family's 1533-position model. The record is from RNAcentral.
CUCGUAGGCGGCUCGUCGCGUCCGGUGUGAAAGUCCAUCGCUUAACGGUGGAUCUGCGCCGGGUACGGGCGGGCUGGAGUGCGGUAGGGGAGACUGGAAUUCCCGGUGUAGGGUGAAAUCUGUAGAUAUCUGGAAGAACACCAAUGGCGAAGGCAGGUUUCCAGCACAUAACUGACGCUCAGGUGCGAAGGUGCGGGGAAUCAAACA